UACGUAGGGUGCAGGCGUUAAUCGGAAUUACUGGGCGUAAAGCGUGUGUAGGCGGUCUUUUAAGUCAGAUGUGAAAUCCCCGGGCUUAACCUGGGAACUGCGUUUGAAACUGGAAGGCUAGAGUGUGGCAGAGGGGGGUGGAAUUCCACGUGUAGCAGUGAAAUGCGUAGAGAUGUGGAGGAACACCGAUGGCGAAGGCAGCCCCCUGGGCUAACACUGACGCUCAUGCACGAAAGCGUGGGGAGCAAACAGG
Molecule: ribosomal RNA, 253 nt
Filed under: uncultured bacterium
Lineage: Bacteria
Description: partial 16S ribosomal RNA
Rfam family: Bacterial small subunit ribosomal RNA
Source: RNAcentral